AGAAAACCUAACAGAAGAGAGACUAGAUGAGGUACUGACUGAGCUUUUAAAAGCCUUCAAGGAGGGUUCACUUGAAAGUAAGGGCUUUCCUUCUUCUUUGUCAGCCUAUAUAGUCUCAAAAGCUGCACUGAACGCAUAUACUAGGAUUCUAGCAAAGAAGUACCCCACUUUUCGUAUCAAUUCGUUAUGCCCUGGCUUUGUCAAAACAGAUAUAAACUACAAUGUCGGUGUCCUACCUGUCGAAGAAGGGGCUGCAAGGGUUAUGAAGUUAGCAUUGCUGCCCAAUGAUGGCCCUUCUGGCUCCUUCUUUGUUGAGUACGAAGUGUCAGAUUUUUAAUUGAAGAUGAUCCGUUUAUGCAAAUUAAAUACAUGUCAUUUAUUUGGCAGAAUCUUGAAUUUCUAAUGUAACAAAGUGUAUUUGGACCCAGCACCAGAUCCCUUUUAAGUUCUUUCUACAUUCAAUAUGACUCGAGGACAACAUACAAUAGUCUUGUAUGAUUGCAUCUUUGUGAAAUUAUCUUCCACAUAUGGAAUUGAUUGAAGGAUCUAAUACAUUGCUUGUUUACAUUUCUACUUAUCAACUGGCUGUUGAACUCAUAUUAUCAUUUACAUUAUUAUUCAACCAGAAAUUCUAUAUGAUUGAUAUCCAUUCUUUGAUCGAUACUAUCAAUAACAUUUUGGUAUAUUUUGUUAUGGAUAUGCUGACAACAAUUAUAUUAACACUUAAUCCACAAUUCUUUCAUUAAUUAAGAAAUGACGUAGGUAUAAAGAAGAAUUGAUUAUCCAACAAUCCCUCAUUCCCUCGUUCCAUCAAUAUUAUUGUAUUCAAUUGUUUAAUAAAGAAAAAGACAAUUGUCAUGUUCAAUGCAAAACUGCUUAAGACUUCGCAUGUUACGACUUUUUUGCCUAUACACACCAAUGGUAGUUGAGACAUUGGGGAAGCCCUUGUGAACAUGUUGUUGAAAGGUCUCUCUGGUCUGUCAACGUGUGCACUUGCGUCACUACCUUCUCCUUUUCCUUAACGAAAAUUCUACAGAGAAAAAUCCAAGCAAAUGCUGUUCUAUCUAUCUUUCCCAUUCAAAUGAUGUCAUAUCUCACUAUAUCUCACCAAACCCAGUUAUUAACUUAUUAUUACUUUCAUGACCCAAAAAAGAAAAAGUUACUUUUACGUUUUCCGUUUUUUGCUAUACCACUUUUUUGUCAGUAAGGACACAAUUGUACUUUUAUAAAUCCAAACUAACAAACGCCAUAAUGGGCUUACUCAUUGACUAAAAACUAACAAAAAUAUAAAAUCACUUGAGCAAGACCCAAAAGUAUAUAGGGUAUUUAGAAGAUCUUAAUUAGUGCAUUUCCACAUGUAAGCUUAUAAAUAGGACCGAAAUAUAGAAGAAUUCUACAAUAAAUUUUAGGAAAAAUUCAAUUUGUCUUUCAAAAUUAAAAUAAGGAGUUAAAUUCUUAUUACGGAUACUUCUAUGUUUUUUCCACAUUGAGAAACUAAAAAUACAAAUGACACCCACAAAAAAAGUAAAAAUUCAAUUCUUGAGUAGGGCAGCCGCAUGUGAAAUCACACUCGCAAAGAGUUAAGACCCACAUUCAGAGGGUCUCACCCUUAUUUGAGUGCCACCGGUGCCGCGGUCCUGUUUAAGAUUUUUUUCCUAUCAAAAGGUGAAGGUUGCCACAAGUAAAUUAAUGUAUGUAUUUUAUAUCUAGUGGGGAUGAAAAAGUAAGGUGAUCCAUGUUUCUAUAGGAUAUUAUUAUUUACAUUAUUAGUCAAUUAGAGUAGUCACAUCCACACCAGUCUUUGCAUGCGAAACUGCUUACUGCCCUGCAACUGCCUUCACCAAAAUUCUCCCACAAACCCAUUAUUUUCCUUUAAAAUCUUAAAAACAAAAUUUGGUCCCUCUGUCGCCACAAUUUCUAAUUAAUGUUAGAAAACACUAGAAGCAUAUAGGAACAAAAGAAUCAAAAUUUUCUUCUUCGUAUUAUUUAUUUGAAUAUGACCUCAAAAGUCAAAGGCUUUCCAAGAACAUUCACUAUAAAAGAAAAGAAGGCUCCUUCUGUUUAACACACAUCUCAAUUCUCACAGACCGUCCCGUUUCGAAUCUAUCAAUGGCAGAAGCAACAAAGAGGUAGCACUUUAGACUUCAUUAUGCUUUGUUUCCUUGUCCGAUUUCCAAUCCCUUUAAUUGUUUUUGUUUCUAUGAAUUUGGUGUUUGUGUUUUCUUAGGUAUGCGGUUGUUACUGGAGCAAACAAAGGUAUAGGAUUGGAAACUGUAAGGCAGUUGGCCUCAAAUGGGUUCACCGUAGUCUUAACUGCCCGAGAUGAGAAGAGGGGUCUUGAAGCUGUUGAGAAACUCAAAGAGUCUGGCCUCUCAGGUCAAGUGGUUUUUCAUCAACUUGAUGUGGUUGACCCUGCUACUGUUGCUUCUUUGGCAGACUUCAUCAAAACCCAGUUUGGGAAACUCGAUAUCUUGGUAUGUAUAUGAUCAUAGCUACAGGUUUCUUGAAAAAGUUUCUGUCUUUUGAAUCUAACUCUUAAUCCGAAUGUGAUUUAGUUGGAGGAGAUGAAAUAUGGAAUUGGAAAAUGAAAAUAGCAAACCAAGUAAUAACUAGCUUAGUAAUAUCUUCAACAAGUUAAUCUUUGAAAUAAUUAGAAGUCUUAGGCUUUUUGAAGAACAAAACAAGUUUCACAUAACUACCAGUCUGCCACUCUGUUUUUGUUUCUUGGAAUCUUUUCAUAUAUGAUAUGAUCCCUUUCUGUACAAUUUAUAAGUACCCUAGAAAGAUCAGUGGCUGGAGUUACGGGGUUUGGCAAAGUGGCAUAAUUAUUGGGCUUCUUUAAAGGGCAUUGGCCUUUAUGGUUAGUUUGGUUUUAACAACAAAGAGAUUGUAAGAGUAAUCAGUGGAUCUAUCAACUUUCUUUUCCUUUCAUUUUCGAUUUUCUGUUCUUUUCUUUGCUAAAAGAAAACAGAUAGUGAAACAGUUGGACUCUGCACAGGUGAACAAUGCAGGGGUUGGUGGAAGCAUAGUAGAUGGUGAUGCUUUUAAAGCUUCUGUAGCCUCCGGUGCCACGGUAAGUCUUUUGUAUAAUUUUUUAUCAAUAGCUAUCAAAAACUAAAAGCUUCAAUGUAUGUGCCAAAGUGAGAAUUUAAACUGAUCUGUGGUUUGGCAUACUUUAAUCAACGUUUUUCUUGUUUGGGGUGGGUGUGUAAGUGGUGGGCAAUAGGCACCAUAAUAAUAAGUUUGUUUUUGCUGAUACAGGAAAGAGGAGGAGUUGAUUUUAGUAAACUAGUGACUGAAACUUAUGAGUUAACAGAAGAAUGCUUGCAAAUAAACUAUUAUGGUGCUAAAAGAACAGCUGAAGCACUUAUCCCACUCCUCCAGUUAUCUGACUCACCGAAAAUUGUUAAUGUUUCUUCUGUCAUGGGGAUGUUAAACAACAUACCAAGCGAUUGGGCUAGAGGAGUUUUUACUGAUGCCGAAAACCUAACAGAAGAGAGAGUAGAUGAGGUACUGACUGAGCUUCUAAAAGAUUUCAAGGAGGGUUCACUUGAAAGUAAGGGCUGGCCUUCUUCUAUGCCUGCCUAUAUAGUCUCAAAAGCAGCACUGAACGCAUAUACAAGGAUUCUAGCAAAGAAGUACCCCACUUUUCGUAUCAAUUCAGUCUGCCCUGGCUUUGUCAAAACAGAUAUAAACUACAAUGUCGGUGUCCUACCUGUCGAAGAAGGGGCUGCAAGGGUUAUGAAGUUAGCAUUGCUGCCCAAUGAUGGGCCUUCUGGUUCCUUCUUUGUUCAGUAUGAAGUGUCAGAUCUUUGAUUGAAGAUGAUCCAUUUAUGCAAUUUUAAUACAUAUCACUUGUUGGGCAGCAUCUUGAACUUUGAUGUAAUUUAAGUAUAUUUGGAACCAGCAGCAGAUCCUUUUUAAGUUCUUUCUACAUUCAAUAUGACUCGAGGACGACAUAAAAUAGUCCUGUAUGAUUGCAUCUCUGUGAAAUUAUUUUCCACAUCUUGAGUUGAUUGAAGGAUCUAAUACAUUGCUUGUUUACAUUUCUACUUAUCAACCGGCUCUUGAACCCAUAUUAUCGUUUACAUUAUUAUUCAACCAGAAAUUCUAUGUGAUUGAUAUCCCUCCUUUAAUCGAUACUAUCAAUAACAUUUUAGUAUAUUUUGUUAUAGAUAUGUUGGCAACAAUUAUAUUAAUCCUUUAUCGACAAUCUGUCAUUAAUUAAGAAAUAACAUAGGUAUUAAUUAAGAAAUAACAUAGGUAUAGAGAAGAAUUGAUUAUCCAACAAUCCGUCAAUCUGUCAAUCCAUCAAUAUUAUUGUAUUCAAUUGUUGAAUAAAGAAAAAUGACAAUUGGCAUGUUCAAUGCAAAACUACUUACGACUUUGCAUGUUACGACUUUUUUGCCUAUAUACUCCAACGGUGGCUGAGCCCCUUUUAGGGGCCCCACUGGGGAAGCCCUUGUGAACAUGUUGUUGAAAGGUCUCUCUGGUCUGUCAACGUGUGCACUUGCGUCACUACCUUCAUACUUUUCCUUAAUACUCCAAGCAAAUGUUGUUCCAUCUUUCCCAUUCAAUGACUUCUAGAAAACAUUACAGGCAAGCAUUCUUUCUCCAGUAUAGGAACAAACGGCUUUUCAAGAACAUUUUACUAUAAAACAAAAGAAGCCUCCUUCUGUUUAGUCUCACUUCUCACAGACCGUCCAAUUAUCGAAUCAUCAAUGGCAGAAGCAACAAGGAGGUAGCACUUUAGAGUCCUUUAUGCUUUGGUUCCUUGUCACAUCUCCAUUCCCUCUCAUUGUUUCUGCUUAUCAUUUUUGUGUUACGAAUUUGGUGUUUUUGUUUUUCCAGGUAUGCAGUUGUUACUGGGGCAAACAAAGGCAUAGGAUUGGAAACUGUGAGGCAAUUGGCCUCAAAUGGAUUCACUGUAGUCUUAACUGCCAGAGAUGAGAAAAGGGGUCUUGAAGCUGCUGAGAAACUCAAAGAGUCUGGCCUCUCAGGUCAAGUGGUUUUUCAUCAACUUGAUGUGGCUGACCCUGCUACUGUUGCUUCCUUGGCAGAGUUCAUCAAAACCCAGUUUGGGAAACUCGAUAUCUUGGUAUGUGUAUGAUCAUAGCUGCAGGUUUCUUGAAAAAGUUUUGGUCUUUUGAAAUAAUUAGAAGUCUCAGGCUUACACAAUAUCCACACAGGUGAAGGUUACAUUAGAGACUGUAAAAUUGAUCAUAUCAUGCUUGCUUAUUGUGUCCACUUCCAGUUGUGGGAGAUUUUACUUUCAAGUCUAACUAUAAGAUAUGAACCCUCUGUACAAUUUACAAGUACCCUAGAAAGAUCAGUGGCUGGAGUUAAGGGAUUUGGCAAUGCCUUGAUGGUUGGUUAUAGAACCAUAUAGAUUAUCUUAGUAACCCGAGGAUGUACCAACUUCUUUUAAUUGCAUUUUCUACAAUUUUCUUUUCUUUGCUAAAUUAAAAUAGGUAGUGAGACAGUGGUUUCUGCACAGGUGAACAAUGCAGGGAUUGGUGGAGCCAUAGGAGAUGCUGAUGCCUUUACAGCUUUAGUGAAGUCUUUCGACAUGGUAAGUCUUUCGAAUUAAUUUUUUCAAUAGCUAUCAAAACCUAAAAGUUUCAAUGUAUGGCUUGAAAAUUUUUCAUUGUGAUGUUCAUGUCAAACUUUGAUCAACAUUUUUCUUGUUUGUGGUGGCUGUGGGCUAUAGGACCAUAACAAUAAGUUCGUUCUUACCGAUACAGGGGAGAGGAGAAAUUGGUAGUAAACUAAUGACUGAAACUUAUGAGUUAACAGAAGAAUGCUUGCAAAUAAACUAUUAUGGUGCUAAAAGAACAGCUGAAGCACUUAUCCCACUCCUCCAGUUAUCUGACUCACCGAGAAUUGUUAACGUUUCGUCUUUCCUGGGGAAGUUAAUGCAUAUACCAAGCGAUUGGGCUAGAGGAGUUUUUACUGAUGCUGAAAACCUAACAGAAGAGAGAGUAGAUGAGGUACUGACCGAGCUUCUAAAAGAUUUCAAGGAGGGUUCACUUGAAAGUAAGGGCUGGCCUUCUCCUUCGUCUGCCUAUGUAGUCUCGAAAGCUGCACUGAACGCAUAUACAAGGAUUCUAGCAAAGAAGUACCCCACUUUUCGUAUCAAUUCGUUAUGCCCUGGCUUUGUCAAAACAGAUAUAAACUACAAUGCCGGUGUCCUACCUGUCAAAGAUGGGGCUGCAAGGGUUAUGAAGUUAGCAUUGCUGCCCAAUGAUGGCCCUUCUGGCUCCUUCUUUGUUCACUAUGAAGUGUCAGAUUUUUAAUUGAAGAUGAUUGUUGUGAAAUUUAUUGCAAGCGCACAAUUCGCACAAGUAAUACAGUGAUGAGUGAAGUGUCGUUCCCACGAAGAGUGAUUUAAUUUACUAAGUACCGAUUGUGAGAAAAAUAAAAGCAAGCGUAGAGAAAUAAAGUAGUGAGAUUCAAGUUAUGAGAGCACUAGAGCUUCCGAUUUCACCAUAGCCAAUUUUACCCAAUUCCCUUAGCAUGUUAAUCCUAAUUAUUCUCUAUGUAGACAGUUGAUUUUCCCUACUUUAUUCGAUACUCCAUCCCUGGUUAUAUCAAAAGUAUUCUUAUUACCAACCCACUCUAUCCCUAGUAAUGGAAUUAAGAUAAUAAGAACCCAUUAAAUUCCUUGGAAACCCUACAAAACAACCACAUAAGUCACGACAAACAUCCAUGUCUAAUCAUGUAACUCAUGGCAUCUAUUACAAGAAGCAACCCCAAAUUGGAUAUCCCUGUCGUCAAUUUAGCAUCAAAACAAUUAAAUGUUGGCCAAACAUUCAAAGCAUUAAGCAUGGUACUCAACAUGGAAAAAUACUUGGAAUUAACAUUGACUAAAGUAAUUGAGUAUUCAUGGCUAGGCUACAUCGUAGCACUGGUAAGAAGAAAUUAGUUCAUGAAAACUUUAAUAAAAACCAUGAUAAAUAGUAUCAUAGGAAAGAAAAAAACCAAUUGAAGAUUUGAUCUCUGCACGACACCAACUCUAGCUCCAGGUCGUCUUCUUUGUCUCUCUAAAACUCUCUCUCCUUUGAGUGUUUCGGCUAUAAGUAUGAAUGUGUAGGAAUUUGUGAGGCUAGAUGAUGGAGGAUGGUGGGUAAUGGAUUCUUUGAACAAUGACCUAAACUCCCUAUUUAUAAAACUCUUAGGAAUCCUACCUAAUGAAUAAUUACAAUUGUUAUAAAAAUAGGAUUCCUUCUAAUAUAAGGUCUUCUUUAUUCCUCCUUGUUUGACUUGAUAAGACUUGAACCAUCUUGAACUAAGAAAUUUGACAACAUUCCUUGCAACAAAAGGAAUGACUUGGCUUCUUUUUAAUUGAUCUCCAAUCUUCAUCUUCUUGCCUUUUUUUAGCACACUUUCUCCUAUUUCAUAAUUCCUUCACAAAUCUCACAAAACCAAUUAAAAACAACUAAUUUAAUCCAAGAAAUUAAUAAAUAAAUAAGCAAAUGAGGCAUAAAAUAUAUAUAUAUAAAAUAUAGACUUAUCAAUGAUCCAUUUAUGCAAAUUAAAUACAUGUAAUGUAUUUGGCAGGAUCUUUAACUUUUAAUGUAACAAAGUAUAUUUGUGACAGGACCCGCCCCGAAUUUUCCGAAAUUCUAGAUGAAUCCUGUGGAAUUCCCGACAUCACCCCGAUGCCGAGCCCACUUACUAAGGACCGGGACUUUCUGCCGAAAUUUCAGCAGAGUCUCCCUUGUAAAUUGAUCAUUCCCCAAAUUUUUUAACCUGUAUAAAACACAUUUGAUAUCCACAACUGGCAGCAUGCACAAGAUAAUUUCAUGCAAAUCACAUAAUCGGCCUCCGGCCUUCAAAUAAUUCGAAACUAAACCACCAACAAACUCUAAACACAAUUAUGAACGCCAAAUGCGAUUUCCAUCAUCUAAAUUCCCAAAUAUUGAACGUACAAAAUUAAACCUCCUAACAAGACUACAUCUCAUUUUCACCUAAAUUUCAGGACCAACAAGAAAGUCCAAACCAAUCUUCAUCACACAACAUGAGUAAAGUUUAGCCCGCGGCUGUACCUAGGCACUACCCUAGGCUGCCUACGUACCCUUACUAAGGGAUCAAGCCACACGUAGUUCUUUCCAUACAAAAUUUCCAAAUCCAUCAACAUGCAAUCAAUUCUAGAAAUCCCCGCCCGAAAAUCCUACGCCACGUGUGACUUAACCAUCAUGUCAUCUCCCCAUACGCCGGAAAUUCCAACGCCACGUAUGGGAUUUGUCUUAACGUCGGAAAAUCCUACGACAAGCGAGACCUAACAAUCACAUAAUCUCCCCAUAUGCCGGAAAUUCCAACGCCACAUAUGGGGUCUGUUAGCACGCCGGAUAACCUAUGCCACGUGUGACCUAACAAUCAUAGCAUCUCCCCAUACGCCAGAAAUUCCAACGCCAUGUAUGGGGUCUGUCCUCACGCCGGAUAACCUACGCCACGUGGGACCUAACAAUCACAUAAUCUCCUCAUAUGCCGAAAAUUACAACGCCACAUAUGGGGUCUGUCAGCAUGCCGGAUAACCUACGCCACGUGUGACCUAACAAUCAUAGCAUCUCCUCAUACGCGCGGAAAUUCCAACGCCACAUAUGGGGUUUGUCCUUACGCUGGAUAACCUACGUCACGUGGGACCUAACAAUCACAGGGUAAUACUUAGGGUAGUGUGUAUAGCACUUCAAACUGACAUACUCUCAAUUAUCUAAACUAAUACUAGAGGUAUUCCCACUUUAGUGAUACCAGUCUAUAGUAGACUGCAACGUAAUUUAAUCAGGAAAGUAAUAUUAUUUUUAGACCAAUGAUCAUGCACAUAAACAUAAAUUUCAUAAUUUCAAUUAUUAAAACAAUAUCUAAGAGUUUCCUACAAUAAUAAUAAACACUCUAAAAAAUCUCAACCUAGUCAACAUAGCUCAACAACGCUCAAGACCUGUCACUAGGGUCAUUAUAAUCCUUCUAGGAAGGUAAAACUACCUCCGAAGACUCACGGUCAACCAAGGGUCAAACUACCCAAACUUGGUCAAAUGGGCCCACGGGGCCCAUGACCUCCAAAUUCCGAUCCUAAAGUUCCUAUGUGUUCUACAAGGCUUAUGACACAUGUUCUGCAAUCUGGACCAAACUUGCAGAACGUCCGGGGUUCCGAUUCACACAUAAACUUUAAGUUAUUAAAUCGGAACAUCCGGGGCUCCGAUUCACGAUCCAUGAAUUCCUACACGAUCCUAGAAAUUCCUAGGUUAACACAUAUCAAAUUCGAGACCAUCCAAAGGUCCAAACCUAUCGAGCCCGGAUAACACGCAAUAGGCGAUAUCCGUUCGAGACUCAAACGGUAUCCAAAUUGAAAUCCGAGCACACCUACGCACUCGUGAGGACCGGGAGAUUACAUCGGGAUAUAGUGCCCUUUUUCUACAGUGCCCACUCGCCGCCGCACGCGCCGGCAGCGCGUGGGUGCCCAAAGCGAUUACGCAUCGCUGAAAAAUCCCAAAACCACGGCUCCAAACUCCUACCCUAGGUAUAUUUGGAACCACUUUUGUUCUGGACCUACCCCAAAAACUGACCGGAAGUGGCCGGAAUCGCGAUCCCAAAAUCGGCCGAACCCUAAAUCCAAAAUCGAACGACUUAGGCUAAAAAUAAAUGUAAUCCUGCCCAACCAUCAGCUAGAGCAUGGAACAUAGGUAGAAAUCCAUGCCUUACUCGUCAAAUUUGGAGGAAAAAUGAGGGAGAACUAACGGUUUGAAAAUCUGUGAAAACCGACUCGUUUUCUGCAGAUUCCGGCGGCUAGAGUGGCUAACGGAGGCAGAGACCGGGUGGGAUGAGAAGAGGAGGAGGUGGCAGUUCGAACAAGACUGGUCUCGAGGCCGGUUGUUGACGAUGGCGACGGCAGUGGCUCUUGGAAGCCACGGCUGUGCAGAAAACAGAAGGUAGGAAGGUCACUACGCGCGCAGGGAGAGAGAGAGAGAGAGAGAGAGAGAGAGAGAGAGAGAGAGAGAGAGAGAGAGAGAGAGAGAGAGAGAGAGAGAGAAAAUCUGGUUUUUAAAAACCAACUUCAAAAUAUUUACAGUUUUGCCACUGAGCUUGUUUUGCUCGUAACUUCUUCGUUACAACUCCAAAUCGAGUCCACCACAUGUCUACGGACUGACCUCACCGUGCUCUACGCAACGGUAUAGUCGAAAUUCUCAAAUUCCUUCCCGGUCAAAAAGUAAACUUUAGACCUAAUAAAAUAUUUUAGGGGCAAAAUGGUAUUUUCUUUGAAUAAAUUAGUAUUUACUAAUUUAUUUAGGACCGGGUCGAUACAAUUUGGACCCAGCAACAGAUCCUUUUUAAGUUCUUUCUACAUUCAACAUGACUCGAGGAUGGCAUAGAUUCAAUAGUCCUGUAUGAUUGCAUCUCUAAUACAUUGCUUGUUUACAUUUCUACUUAUCAACUGACUCUUGAACCCAUAUUAUCAUUUACAUUAUUAUAAUCAGAAAUUCUAUGUGAUUGGUGUCCAUCCUUUGAUCAAAAUGAUCAAUAUCAUUUCGGUAUAUACUUCUUAUGGACAUGUUGACAACAAUUAUAUUAACAUGUUAUUGACAAUCCGUUAUUAAUUAAGAAAUGACAUAGGUGUACAGAAGAAUUGAACAUUCAAUUGUUUGUUUAAUAAAGAAAAAGACAACAUGAGUCUCUUUAACAAUCAUGUUUUUGGAUUGGAGCAGCCUAAUUCACCAAUGAUCAUGCACAUAAACAUAAAUUUCAUAAUUUGAACAACUUGGGCACUUGCGUCACUAUCCCCCUCUUUUUCCUUAAUACUCCGAAACAAAAAUCCGAGCAAAUGUUGGUCCAUCUGUCCCAUUCAAUGACUUCUAGAAAGCAUUAUAGGAACAAACGAAUCGAUUUGAAUAUAAUACUCAAAAUACAAAAGCUUCCCAACAACUUCACGUUAUAAAAGAAAAUAAAGAUCCUUCUGUUUAGUCUCAUUUCUUACCCCUGCUUUUUUCCGAGAAAGAUACAUUUAGGCUUUUAUUAUCUUCUUAUUCAUUCAUAUCGUGGAUGUAGACAUUGCUUGUCACGUGCGUGCGUACGUCUCCAUAAUUGACUUGAGGCUAGCUUUUCAAUUACUCAUGUAGAAUUUUUUUUUUUCAAGUGCCCAUAGAGAUAAGACUUCCAUAUAUGGGGCUCACCUCAAUUAAAAAUGUAGUUAGUAAAGUGGUACACGAUUGUUUUUAUAUAUGCUCAGAUAUUUAAUUUUACAAAAAUAAUGCAUCCAACUAACUCAACCAAAAAAGUUGCAUCCAAUUAAUUAUGUUCUUAGAAUAUCGAUACAAAAUAAAUUAGGUGUUAAAAAGAUAUUUAUUUUUGCAAAAAUAAUGCAUCCAACUAACUCAACUAAAAAAGUUGCAUCCAAUUAAUGAUGUUCUUGGAAUAUUGAUACAAAAUAAAUUAGGUGUUACAAAGAUAUUUAUUUUUGCAAAAAUAAUGCAUCCAACUAACUCAACCAAAAAAGUUGCAUCCAAUUAAUGUUGUUCUUGGAAUAUUGAUACAAAAUAAAUUAGGUGUUAAAAAAUAUUUAAUAUCUAAAUAUGAUCUAUUACGACUUAUCGUCACAAUCAUGGUAAUUAUUCAAAAGGUGUAACAUCCCUUAUACAAUUUAAUCGAUUUAAUCAAAUUUAAUUCUUUUGUGAAAUUUCAAUUUUGCCCUUGGGAGUAGGGGUACUUUGGUCACUUUAAGAAAAAAAAAACAUUUAUUGUAUGGUAUUACGUAAUGAUGUAAGUUUGUGUUAUUUUAUGUGAGGCCCCAAUUUAAGGUUAGCACAGGGCCCUCAAAAUCUCAAGACCGGCCCUGGGCCCCGUUGGGGAAGCCCUUGUGAACAUGUUGUUGAAAGGGCUCUCUGGUCUGUCAACGUGUGCAGUUGCGUCACUACCUUCAUCCUUUUCCUUAACACUCCAAGCAAAUGUUGUUCCGUCUUUCCCAUUCAAUGACUUCUAGAAAACAUUACAGGCAGGCACUCUUUUCUUUCUCCAGAAUAGGAACAAACGGCUUUUCAAGAACAUUUUACUAUAAAACAAAAGAAGCCUCCUUCUGUUUAGUCUCAUUUCUCACAGACCGUCCCAUAUCGAAUCAUCAAUAUGGCAGAAGCACCAAAGAGGUAGCACUUUAGAGUCCUUUAUGCUUUGGUUCCUUGUCACACCUCCAUUCCCUCUCAUUGUUUCUGCUUAUCAUUUUUGUGUCAUGAAUUUGGUGUUUUUGUUUUUUCCAGGUAUGCAGUUGUUACUGGGGCAAACAAAGGCAUAGGAUUGGAAACUGUGAGGCAAUUGGCCUCAAAUGGAUUCACUGUAGUCUUAACUGCCAGAGAUGAGAAAAGGGGUCUUGAAGCUGCUGAGAAACUCAAAGAGUCUGGCCUCUCAGGUCAAGUGGUUUUUCAUCAACUUGAUGUGGCUAACCCUGCUACUGUUGCUUCCUUGGCAGAGUUCAUCAAAACCCAGUUUGGGAAACUCGAUAUCUUGGUAUGUGGAAGAUUUUACUUUCAAAUCUAACUAUAUGAUAUGAACCCUCUGUACAAUUUACAGGUACCCUAGAAAGAUCAGUGGCUGGAGUUAAGGGAUUUGGCAAUGCCUUGAUGGUUGGUUAUAGAACCAAAUAGAUUAUCGAAGUAACCCGAGGAUCUACCAACUUUCUUUUAAUUGCAUUUUCUACAUUUUUCUUUUCUUUUCUAAAUUAAAAUAGAUAGUGAGACAGUUGGCUCUGCACAGGUGAACAAUGCAGGGAUUGGUGGAGCCAUAGGAGAUGCUGAUGGCUAUAUAGCUUUAGUAAAGUCUUUGGAAAUGGUAAGUCUUUCGAAUUAAUUUUUUCAAUAGCUAUCAAAACCUAAAAGGUUCAAUGUGUGGCUAUAAUGUGGAUUUGGGAGUGUGCUAUUUUGCCUCUGCGCCUAUCUGGAUUAGCUCCUUCUUGAUUGAUGAUAUGUUAGGGGUUGUUAGAACCCUUUAGUUUGUGCUGACAGUUUGUAGUCUGUUUGUUUUGGGGUUUGAUCCCCCACUAGUUCAUAAAAUAAAAAAAUAAAAAAAAAGCUUCAAUGUAUGUGCUAAUGUGAAAAUUUCAAUUGAUCUCUGGUUUGGCCAAAGAUCUGUUUCGCUUAAUGCUUUGCUGUUUUUAGUAGGGGAAAUGAUCUGAUUAAUUGAUUUAGGAUUUUUCCAAUAAGCUGCUACCUUUCUGGAUUUACUUAUCUCACCUGAUAAAUCUUUCUGCACUCUAUCCAUAAUUUUUUUUUUGAAGCCCUUUGCUAUAAAUAAAAUAAAUUAUGCACAUAAGUUGUCAUGCUUUCUUCCUCUCUAGCUUGAAAAUGUUUUAUUGUGAUGUGCCAAACUUUGAUCAACAUUUUUCUUGUUUGUGGUGGGUGUGGGCUAUAGAGACCAUAAUAAUAAGUCUGUUCUUACUGAUACAGGGGAGAGGAGAAGUUGGUAGUAAACUAUGGACUGAAACUUAUGAGUUAACAGAAGAAUGCUUGCAAAUAAACUAUUAUGGUGCUAAAAGAACAGCUGAAGCACUUAUCCCACUUCUCCAGUUAUCUGACUCACCGAGAAUUGUUAAUGUUUCGUCUUUCCUGGGGAAGUUAAUGCAUAUACCAAGCCAUUGUGCUAAAGGAGUUUUUACAGAUGCCGAAAACCUAACAGAAGAAAGAAUAGAUGAUGUACUGAGUGAGCUUCUAAAAGACUUCAAGGAGGGUUCACUUGAAAGUAAGGGCUGGCCUUCUUCUUUGUCUGCCUAUGUAGUCUCAAAAGCUGCACUGAACGCAUAUACAAGGAUUCUAGCAAAGAAGUACCCCACUUUUCGUAUCAAUUCGUUAUGCCCUGGCUCUGUCAAAACAGAUAUAACCUACAAUGCCGGUUUCCUAC
Molecule: long non-coding RNA, 13875 nt
Filed under: Prunus persica (peach)
Lineage: Eukaryota; Viridiplantae; Streptophyta; Magnoliopsida; Rosales; Rosaceae
Description: long non-coding RNA (PPER_LNC002721)
Source: RNAcentral